CGGAGAAGGAGCAUGAGAAACGGCUACUACUUCUAAGGAAAGCAGCAGGCGCGCAAAUUAUUCAAUGGUAACAACUACCGAAAUAGUGACAAAAAAUAACAAUGCAUCGCACAAUGUGACGCAAUUGUAAUGAGUACAAUUUAAAACCCUUAACGAGUAACAAUUAGAGGGCAAGUCUGGUGCCAGCAGCCGCGGUAAUUCCAGCUCUAAUAGCGUAUAUUAAUAUUGUUGCAGUUAAAAAGCUCGUAGUUGAAACUUGAACACCUCAAUAAGUUUGGUCUACCUUUAAGGUUUGACUACUUGUUAGUGUUCUUCCUACUGGUAACUCGAUUAUGUUCUUAAUUGAAUGUAAUAGCUAUCUUUCGAGAUAGUCAUCUAGUGUGAACAGCUCCACCAUAUCAGUGGCGAUGUGUAAAAGCAUUUAAAUUGAAUGAGUGGAUCAAGUUGAUUAUAUUAGAUGGAGUUCCAGUUCGUUUACUUUGAGAAAAUUAGAGUGUUUAAAGCAGCCUCUUGGGGCUCUGAAUACAUUAGCAUGGGAUAAUAGAAUAGGAUUUAAGUCACUAUAUUUGUUGGUUUGAAUGAAUUAAAUAAUGAUUAAGAGGGACAGUUGGGGGUAUUUAUAUUGGAUGGUUAGCGGUGAAAUGCAUGGAUCCAUUCAAGAUAAACUAAAGCGAAAGCAUUUACCAAGGAUGUUUUCAUUAAUCAAGAACGAAAGUUAAGGGAUCGAAGACGAUCAGAUACCGUCGUAGUCUUAACCAUAAACUAUGCCGACCAGGGAUAUGAGUUGCUAUGAAUAUGUUUUAGGAUGUAUUCAACUUCCUCUUGUGGACCUUGUGAGAAAUCAUAAGUUUUUGGGUUCUGGGGGAGUAUGGUCGCAAGUCUGAAACUUAAAGGAAUUGACGGAGGGGCACCACCAGGAGUGGAGCGUGCGGCUUAAUUUGACUCAACACGGGAAAACUUACCAGGUCCAGACAUUAGAAGGAUUGACAGAUUGAUAGCUCUUUCAUGAUUUAAUGGGUGGUGGUGCAUGGCCGUUCUUAGUUGGUGGAGUGAUUUGUCUGGUUAAUUCCGAUAACGAACGAGACCUUUACCAUACUAAAUAGUUUGAUUUAUACUUUUGUAUAGAUUUCAUUCAUAAACUUCUUAGAGGGACUAUUGGUUUCUAAACCAAAGGAAGUAAAGGCGAUAACAGGUCUGUGAUGCCCUUAGAUGUUCUGGGCUGCACGCGCGCUACAAUGAUAAGCUCAACGAGUAUUUAAAGUUUUUAAUUUUAUCGCUUAACCGGAAGGUUUGGCUAAUCUUAAACGCUUAUCGUGCUUGGGAUAGAUGAUUGCAAUUAUUUAUCUUGAACCAGGAAUUCCUAGUAAUCGUAUAUCAUCAGUAUGCGAUGAUUACGUCCCUGCCCC
This 1406-nucleotide ribosomal RNA is filed under the name uncultured eukaryote. RNAcentral describes it as "SSU rRNA". It matches the Rfam family "Eukaryotic small subunit ribosomal RNA", at positions 384 to 1659 of the family's 1831-position model. The record is from RNAcentral.